Macaca fascicularis (crab-eating macaque) is the source of this 2051-nucleotide long non-coding RNA. Lineage: Eukaryota; Metazoa; Chordata; Mammalia; Primates; Cercopithecidae. The record is from Ensembl.
GUCUCAUCUGAGCCCAGAGCAGCAGGCUAGUUCACUGACACUCACAGACUUGGCAGGAGCAUUUACUCUUUAAAUACAUCGAGGUCAGGAGGUACACUUCAGACAGGGAAACAGGAAAUUACUAGAAGACCUGAACAAGAAUGGCAACUUGAAACUGGAAGAGACAAGGGUACUAGGUGUCUGGAAGCCAACUGAAGUAGAAAGAUUUCUAGAGAAUGUGGGAGAUUACCAUCCAAGCCUUCAGCCUUGGCCUCUAGGUCUCCAGUUUACCGUAAACAACAGGUGAAGACUUUCAGUAACUAGAAAUGAAGCCUCAUUGACUAGCGAUUGAAAAUGUCAGGGGUGCAAUGAAUGCCUGUCUGGUAAUCUGCCCAGUGUGUCUUCUCUGGGAAACCUCUGCUCAUAAACAGGGAUGGGCCCUGGCAGCCAUAUUGGUCCCCUGAAGCUCCCAUCACCUAUGAUUAGGGUUAGGGUUGGGCAGGUGAUUUAGUCCCUGUGGGUGCAGCUCUGGAACAUCAUUUCUCUGACACUGGGACAUAGGAGCCAGGAAAGCUGGUUGUCAGAAUAGAAGAACAGAGCACAGGUGCAGACAGAGCAUCUGCUAUGGAGAAAAAAUUCCACUGAGUUUCUCCUGGCUUUUCGGGUCUGGGAUCUGGGUCUUCCUGAGGGCUAACUUAUUUUUGCCCUUGGGUUCUACUAUACAUCGAAUCUAUCUAUCAGCUUUCUAUUAUCUAUCUAUCAACUAUCUAUUAUCUAUCAACUAUCUAUUAUCUAUCUAUCAUCUAUACUCUGUUGCCCAGGCUGGAAAGCAGUGGCACAAUCUCUGUUCACUGCAGCCUAGAACUCCUGGCCUCAAGCAAUCCUCCCACCUCAGCCUCCUGAGUAGCUAGGACUACAGCUGCGUAUCACCAUACCUGGCUAAUUUUAAAAUUUUUUAAAAGAUGUCUUGCUAUGUUGCUCAGGCUGGUCUUGAUCUCCUGGCCUCAAGUAAUCCUUCCACCUUGGCCUCCAAAAGUGUUGAGAUUAUGGGCAUGGGCUACUGUACGCAGCCUCUUCUAUUUACAUAAUGAAUUUCUGUCCUCUAUUAGGGUGAAGAGAUAGCUUUUCAGUGACUUUGAAGCAUUGUGCCAAAUAUUUCAAACAUCAUAUUUUAAAAUCUUCUUACUUUUUGAUUUAUUUAGUUGCUGCAAAUUUUGACUUAUCUGUCACUAAUCGGCUGGAUGUACUGAGAUACUUUGACAUUUCCUAAUGCUUGGCGCUUUCUCUUUCUGGUCCUCCAUAGUGAGGGCUGGCUGUCUUCCCUUAUAGGUAUCUGCUAACGCUGGAGGCUCAACUGAUAAAGACAGCCAUGCCAAGAAGCAGACAGAAAGGCUGGGGCUAAUAGAACAGAUCUCUACUCCAGGGGCUUUAACUCUGUCCUAGUUCUGGUCAAACAGGAUUAAUACUGCUCACUGUUACUAUCCUAAAAGGAUUGUCAUGGUUAAAAGUGGGCAUUUACUCUUUUCAGUGUCUUUUGUUGCUGGAAUAAAGGAGAUAAUAAUACGAAACAAAAAUCAGCUUGCUUCUCCUCAUAUUUGGCCAGCUCCCAGGCAUUCAGAAUGUCAUUACUAAUUAGACAUUUGUUUUAACAUUCUGGGUCCAUCCAGGCUAGGCAAGCUUGUGAUGUGGGGAAAGUUGACUCGUUAUGCAAUGGUCCCUAUGGCUUUGCAUUAGAUUCCCUGCUCCCUCGCAGGAGCUGAAUGCUCUUCUGUUGUUCUCUGGGUCUAGAACCCUGUCCCUUUUCUCUGGGAUGGCUCCUACUGAUUUUUCAGCUUAUUCCUCAUUUGCUGCAGGACAGUCUCCUUGGCCCCAUAGUACUUUUGAUUUCCCCAUCAUCUGUGCAGUAAUAGGUUCUCUAUAGAUCCACCAGAGUCUUGUCUUAUUCAUUGUUAUAUCCACAGAUCUAACCUAUUCCUAGUAAACAGUAGGUUCUUCCUGGAUGUAUUCCUGAUGGAUUGGCUUAAUGAAUGAAUGCUCAUUUUACUGGUGUCUCUGAAAAAGGAAAAAAAAAA